Molecule: RNA transcript, 913 nt
Organism: Motacilla alba alba
Lineage: Eukaryota; Metazoa; Chordata; Aves; Passeriformes; Motacillidae
Gene name: histone H2B 1/2/3/4/6-like
Exons: 1
Source: RefSeq, a predicted model, not a curated record
UACGCCCGUUGUCCAAUGGAAGCGCUGGCUCCUAAUGCCGGAGAUUUGCAUAAGGGCCCUAUAAAUAGGGGAGUGAUCGCGCUCCCCGGCACUCCGCUGUGACCGAGCAGCCAGCGCCGCGCAGCCAUGCCCGAGCCGGCCAAGUCCGCGCCCGCGCCCAAGAAGGGCUCCAAGAAGGCGGUGACCAAGACGCAGAAGAAGGGCGACAAGAAGCGCAAGAAGAGCCGCAAGGAGAGCUACUCCAUCUACGUCUACAAGGUGCUGAAGCAGGUGCACCCCGACACGGGCAUCUCGUCCAAGGCCAUGGGCAUCAUGAACUCCUUCGUCAACGACAUCUUCGAGCGCAUCGCGGGCGAGGCCUCGCGCCUGGCGCACUACAACAAGCGCUCCACCAUCACGUCGCGCGAGAUCCAGACGGCCGUGCGCCUGCUGCUGCCCGGCGAGCUGGCCAAGCACGCCGUGUCCGAGGGCACCAAGGCCGUCACCAAGUACACCAGCUCCAAGUAGGACGUCUCGGAUCGUCACUUUUAACCCAACGGCUCUUUUAAGAGCCACCAAUUUUUUCAAUAAAAGGGCUGAAUCAGUGCUUGUAGUGGGGAGGUAUGUAAAUAGCUUAACAUUUGCACUAUGAUCAGUGAAUCAUGGAGUUCUUUCUAGCUAGUUUAGUGUACCUACGAAUUUUUUUAGAAGUUUACCUUGUCUAUGCGCGGUUUACUAGCUUGCUUUUUCAAAACCUCUAAUCUGGUUCGUUCUCAAAAGGGACUUUAAAGCAGCAACAACUUGCCCAAUUCCAAGUCCCGUGGGGAAGGUGAAAUCGUGAUUUAAUUUUCUAAGGGUUAGUGUCUUACUCGAAACAUCUAGCAUUUAUUCUCCGUGCACAAUAGCACUAAAAUAAUAAAAAGGUUUUUACUGU